This 66-nucleotide transfer RNA is filed under the name Chattonella subsalsa. The record is from RNAcentral. Lineage: Eukaryota; Raphidophyceae; Chattonellales; Chattonellaceae.
UUAGCUCAGUGGGUAGAGCGUGCGCUUAGUAAGCGUAAGGUUGCAAGAUCGAUUCCGGGUGUGUCC